Long non-coding RNA from Myotis myotis, 636 nucleotides. RefSeq lists it as uncharacterized. The transcript is spliced from 3 exons. The record is from RefSeq and is a predicted model, not a curated record. Lineage: Eukaryota; Metazoa; Chordata; Mammalia; Chiroptera; Vespertilionidae.
UCCCAAAUGAACGCGCCAACCCCACACUUGGAGCCAGAAGAAAACAGGAAGAUUUGGUGGUGGUUUGCGUGUUUUUACGGGUGAAACACAUUCCGGAUCAGACACACUAGGAAUCGUUAUUGGAGCCGAAACUCCACGUCUAUAAAGGCGCUGAAAAGUUCCCGUAGCUUCGGCAGGUCUCCAGAGCGCCGUGGAACUGGAAGCUGAAAUUAUGAAGCCGGACGCUGAUGAACGCCUGUUUCCUCCAAGCAGCUCCAUCCGUCCGGGCUGUUAGCAGGUGAUGGCGCUCGGACCGGCGGCAAGGACAAGACGGGACAGCACGGGACAGACUCUGAGGCCCACCCGGGCCUCGUCUGGGCUCUGCCACUGAGGAGCCAGGAAGAGGAGCUCCAACUCUGGUCUCUUCAGUGGUCAAGUGAGGGGUCUGCAUCCUGUGGUCAGGAUUCCAUGGCGAUUGGAAUGAGUGCAGACUCCCCUGGCACCUGCCCGAGGCUGGGCAGUGCUCACUGCCCCAGGAAUGCCCUCCAGGCUGUGGGGUCCUCAAUGCCUCUAGUUAGAGCAGCGGUUCUCAACCUGUGGGUCGCGUCCCCUUUAGGGGUCGAACGACCCUUUCACAGGGGUCGCCUAAGACCAUCG